This 76-nucleotide transfer RNA is filed under the name Eubacteriales bacterium. RNAcentral's name for it is "tRNA-Lys". It matches the Rfam family "tRNA". From Rfam's summary of the family: Transfer RNA (tRNA) molecules are approximately 80 nucleotides in length. Their secondary structure includes four short double-helical elements and three loops (D, anti-codon, and T loops). The record is from RNAcentral. Lineage: Bacteria; Bacillati; Bacillota; Clostridia; Eubacteriales.
GAUCCACUAGCUCAGCCGGUAGAGCAUCUGACUUUUAAUCAGGGGGUCGGGGGUUCGAAUCCCCCGUGGGUCACCA